This 883-nucleotide long non-coding RNA is filed under the name Meriones unguiculatus (Mongolian gerbil). RNAcentral describes it as "lncRNA (ENSMUGG00000009648.1)". The record is from RNAcentral. Lineage: Eukaryota; Metazoa; Chordata; Mammalia; Rodentia; Muridae.
AAGAGAGAGCGCGGGCUGUGGGCGGUGCGGGUGGCGCCGGCGUGAGCGCGCGUGGAGGCGGCACUCGGGAGGCAGCGGUCGGGGCCGCGGGCCUUCGAGGGGUCCCGCAGGAGUGCGGUAAAGGAGCCGGUGGCUCCCGCACUAUUGCAGACAAUGUGGUAUACUGUCUGCUCAGCCUGACGCUGAUCCCUCACUGAUCUGAAGGCCAGCCGGAAGCCAGUGUACAGGGGUAGUGGCAGCCCGUCCAUGUGUACCCCCAGAAGAUCAGGGCCGUAGAGGAGAAUGAGAAGUGGAGGCUGGCAACAAAAACAGGAGGAGGAACAGUGACAAGUGUCACCCAGGGUGGUGAUGGCCGCCCCGCCAGCACAUCCUCCCCGACCUUCCACCGCGCCCUGCUCUUCCAGUGUGCUGAGGUGUUUUCAGGUCGUGGCAGAGGAAAUUGUUCUCCAGACCCUGAAGUCAAAAGAUACCCAGCCCUGAGCCCUGGGGAGCUCCACCGCGUCCUAGCCCACCGCACCGCCGUCCCCGGCUGGUCCUCCUGGAGCGAGAAGCCCAGACUUGUGUGCCGCCUCACACGCUCACAGAUGGCUUCCCUGCCCAGGGCUGGCUGCUGCUAAUUUUGGCUGUUGGAGGCUCCGUGUGCGCUCUCUCUUUUUUUAAUUCCAUGUUUAUUUAAAGCCAGAUUUUGAAAUCUUGUCGUCAACUCUGAAGUCUGAAAUUUUCUUGCUGCAGAUCUUCCCCCCCAACACACACACAUACACACUCACACACAGGAUGCAAAGUACAGGAGGCUUGAUGCACAACUAGACAGGGCUCCCUGACAGCCGACCUGUUGUGUCAGCACAGAGCACGGGACGUCCCUGUGCAUGCUGGUGUUUCCGGG